Molecule: long non-coding RNA, 475 nt
Organism: Durio zibethinus
Lineage: Eukaryota; Viridiplantae; Streptophyta; Magnoliopsida; Malvales; Malvaceae
Source: RefSeq, a predicted model, not a curated record
CCUUCCCUUCUGUUCCAAAAACCUAACAACUCCUUGCCUCUUCCCACCACUACCUCGUCGAGCAUCCUCCUUCCACUCAUCCAUUCCUUGAAAAUGAUGUUUUCGUUUUGUUAUUUCCGUAGCACUGUAGUCUAGAGAAAGGACAAAAAUGAAAUUCCAAGAAAAAAAGUUAUCCAAAUAAAGAACACAGUUGAUAAGUUUAGGAAAAAGUUUAAAAUUGUCAACAUAAAAGGAAGACCCAACGAAGGUUUGGAUUGGGUCGACCAAACUAUGGUGGUUAUGGGUUGCGUACAGAUUCUCCAGGUUCGAAGUAGCAUAACAUUCCUUAAGGUAAAUGAUGGUUCAUGCCUUUUAAACAUGUAAUGGAUCAUGAAUUCAGACACUGAAGGCUACAAUCAGGUGCAAGGGACUUUGGUGGCUAGCCAAGGAUCAAAUUAGAAAGUGGAAUUGAAGGUUGAAAAAGUUGUUGUGGUAU